AGUGAACGCUGGCGGCGUGCUUAACACAUGCAAGUCGAACGAGAACGGGAUAUAGCUUGCUAUAUUUGUCAGCUAAGUGGCGCACGGGUGAGUAAUGUAUAGGUAAUAUGCCUCUUACUAAGGGAUAACAAUUGGAAACGAUUGCUAAUACCUUAUAUGCCUUUAAGACUAAAGUCUGCAAGGGAAAGAUUUAUUGGUAAGAGAUUAGCCUGUAUUGUAUCAGCUAGUUGGCGAGGUAACGGCUCACCAAGGCGAAGACGGGUAGCUGGUCUGAGAGGAUGAUCAGCCACACUGGAACUGAGACACGGUCCAGACUCCUACGGGAGGCAGCAGUGGGGAAUAUUGCGCAAUGGGCGAAAGCCUGACGCAGCCACGCCGCGUGAGCGAUGAAGGCC
This 395-nucleotide ribosomal RNA is filed under the name uncultured bacterium. RNAcentral's name for it is "bacterial SSU rRNA". It matches the Rfam family "Bacterial small subunit ribosomal RNA", at positions 29 to 416 of the family's 1533-position model. The record is from RNAcentral.